Molecule: ribosomal RNA, 253 nt
Filed under: uncultured bacterium
Lineage: Bacteria
Description: partial 16S ribosomal RNA
Rfam family: Bacterial small subunit ribosomal RNA
Source: RNAcentral
UACGUAGGCAGCAAGCGUUGUUCGGAGUUACUGGGCGUAAAGGGUGCGUAGGCGGCCUUAUAAGUAUGGUGUGAAAUCUCCCGGCUUAACUGGGAGGGUGCGCUAUAGACUGUGGGGCUAGAGUGUGGGAGAGGAAAGUGGAAUUCCUGGUGUAGCGGUGAAAUGCGUAGAUAUCAGGAGGAACACCGGUGGUGUAGACGGCUUUCUGGACCGUAACUGACGCUGAGACACGAAAGCGUGGGUAGCAAACAGG